This 1408-nucleotide long non-coding RNA is filed under the name Chrysolophus pictus (golden pheasant). Its description in RNAcentral is "lncRNA (ENSCPIG00010012653.1)". Lineage: Eukaryota; Metazoa; Chordata; Aves; Galliformes; Phasianidae. The record is from RNAcentral.
GGCUUCAGCCUUCAGCUGACCGAAUUGGGGAUGGAUUUCGGCGAGAAAUCUCAGAUUUCCACUCUGCUUCAGCGGUGGAUCCUCGAUCUUUGGUCAGUUUCAGUGAUAGAUUCCCAAUCCUUGGUCAGUUUUGGCACCGGAUCCCAGAUUCCUGGUCGGUUUUGGCACCGGAACCCAGAUUCCUGGUCGGUUUUGGCACCGGAACCCAGAUUCCUGGUCGGUUUUGGCACCGGAACCCAGAUUCCUGGUCGGUUUUGGCACCGGAACCCAGAUUCCUGGUCGGUUUUGGCACCGGAACCCAGAUUCCUGGUCGGUUUUGGCACCGGAACCCAGAUUCCUGGUCGGUUUUGGCACCGGAACCCAGAUUCCUGGUCGGUUUUGGCACCGGAACCCAGAUUCCUGGUCGGUUUUGGCACCGGAUCCCAGAUUCCUGGUUGGUUUUGGCACCGGAUCCCAGAUUGCUGGUCGGUUUUGGCACCAGAUCCCAGAUUCCUGCUCAGCUUUGGCACUGGAUCCCAGAUUCCUGCUCAGUUUUGGCACCGGAUCCCAGAUUCCUGCUCAGUUUAGGCACCAGAUCCCAGAACAAUUUUGGCACCAGAUCCCAGAUCAGUUUUGGCACAGAUUCCUGCUCAGUUUUGUCACCAGAUCCCAGAUUCCUGCUCAGUUUUGGCACCGGCUCACAAAUAUUUCAAUUCCAGCAACAGAUCAAUUCCAGCAACAGAUCCCAGAUCCUCGCUCUGUUUCAGCAGCAGAUCCCCAGAUCCUCGAUCAGCUCCAGCUCCCAGAUCCUCUCUCUAUUUCACCUCCAGCUCCUCGGCUCGCUUUCCAUCCCGGAUUUCGACGCUUUCAGCUCCAGAUCCCCAUCCCAAAAAAAAAGAAAAAAGAUCCUCCAUCAGUUACAACACCGGAUCCCAAAAUCUCAGUGGAUCCCGCUCUCAUCCGAGCCCGGAUCCCGACUGAAUCCUUCACCACCACCACCACCAAGGCAUCACCAACACCCAGCAAUACCUCCAAACACCUGGAAUCACAACCGUGUCCCCCAAAAGCUGUAGGUCCUCCAACCCAAGCUGUAGGUCCUCCAAUCCAAGCUGUAGGUCCUCCAAUCCGACUUGCCGUCACCGAACCACCAGCUGCUGUUCAUCCACCACCGACGCUCGGCCGGUUGUUCGGGGGUUUUGUCAGACUGUCACCAAUCGGGUGCCGGCGCCGAUGGUGCCGACGCGUCACCCAUGGGUGCUGGUUGUUGUUGGUGGCGGCGGCGGUGAUGGAUGCGUAUUAUUUGCAAGGUUCUUCGUGUUUUGUCCCGCCCCAGGAGGUGGCACCGGAGGGACCGGUUAAGCCAGAGUCAAAAUUUUGGAGCCGGUCGGUCGGGCGCCGAGUUGGGAAAUAACGGGGAGCCCCCGCCCCA